This 497-nucleotide ribosomal RNA is filed under the name uncultured bacterium. Its description in RNAcentral is "partial 16S ribosomal RNA". It matches the Rfam family "Bacterial small subunit ribosomal RNA", at positions 28 to 507 of the family's 1533-position model. The record is from RNAcentral.
GAUGAACGCUGGCGGCGUGCCUAAUACAUGCAAGCCGAGCGAACGGACGAGAAGCUUGCUUCUCUGAUGUUAGCGGCGGACGGGUGAGUAACACGUGGAUAACCUACCUAUAAGACUGGGAUAACUUCGGGAAACCGGAGCUAAUACCGGAUAAUAUUUUGAACCGCAUGGUUCAAAAGUGAAAUACGGUCUUGCUGUCACUUAUAGAUGGAUCCGCGCUGCAUUAGCUAGUUGGUAAGGUAACGGCUUACCAAGGCAACGAUGCAUAGCCGACCUGAGAGGGUGAUCGGCCACACUGGAACUGAGACACGGUCCAGACUCCUACGGGAGGCAGCAGUAGGGAAUCUUCCGCAAUGGGCGAAAGCCUGACGGAGCAACGCCGCGUGAGUGAUGAAGGUCUUCGGAUCGUAAAACUCUGUUAUUAGGGAAGAACAUAUGUGUAAGUAACUGUGCACAUCUUGACGGUACCUAAUCAGAAAGCCACGGCUAACUACGUG